Molecule: ribosomal RNA, 445 nt
Filed under: uncultured bacterium
Lineage: Bacteria
Description: partial 16S ribosomal RNA
Rfam family: Bacterial small subunit ribosomal RNA
Source: RNAcentral
GUAGGGAAUAUUGGGCAAUGGAUGCAAGUCUGACCCAGCCAUCCCGCGUGCCGGAAGAAGGCCCUCAGGGUUGUAAACGGCUUUUGACGGUGAAGAAUCGACAGGAUGCGUCCUGUUUUGACGGUAGCCGUUGAAUAAGCACCGGCUAACUCCGUGCCAGCAGCCGCGGUAAUACGGAGGGUGCGAGCGUUGUCCGGAUUUAUUGGGUUUAAAGGGUGCGUAGGCUGGAAGGUCAGUCAGCGGUGAAAAGCUGUCGCUUAACGAUAGUCUUGCCGCAGAUACUUCCUUACUUGGAUGAGGAGGAGGCCACUGGAACGGAUGGUGUAGCGGUGAAAUGCAUAGAUAUCAUCCAGAACACCGAUUGCGAAGGCAGGUGGCUGUACCUUAAUCGACGCUGAUGCACGAAAGCAUGGGGAGCAAACAGGAUUAGAUACCCUAGUAGUCC